AGGUAUGCUUAGGGAGGAGCUUGCGUCACAUUAGUUAGUUGGNGGGGUAAAGGNCUACCAAGACUAUGAUGUGUAGCCGGGCUGAGAGGUUGAACGGCCACAUUGGGACUGAGACACGGCCCAAACUCCUACGGGAGGCAGCAGUAGGGAAUUUUCGGCAAUGGAGGAAACUCUGACCGAGCAACGCCGCGUGAACGAUGAAGUAUUUCGGUACGUAAAGUUCUUUUAUUAGGGAAGAAUAAAUGAUGGAAAAAUCAUUCUGACGGUACCUAAUGAAUAAGCCCCGGCUAACUAUGUGCCAGCAGCCGCGGUAAUACAUAGGGGGCAAGCGUUAUCCGGAAUUAUUGGGCGUAAAGGGUGCGUAGGCUGUUAAAUAAGUUUAUGGUCUAAGUGCAAUGCUCAACAUUGUGAUGCUAUAAAAACUGUUUAGCUAGAGUAAGAUAGAGGCAAGUGGAAUUCCAUGUGUAGUGGUAAAAUGCGUAAAUAUAUGGAGGAACACCAGUAGCGAAGGCGGCUUGCUGGGUCUUUACUGACGCUGAGGCACGAAAGCGUGGGGAGCAAACAGGAUUAGAUACCCUGGUAGUCCACGCCGUAAACGAUGAGUACUAAACGUUGGGUAAAACCAGUGUUGAAGUUAACACAUUAAGUACUCCGCCUGAGUAGUACGUACGCAAGUAUGAAACUUAAAGGAAUUGACGGGACUCCGCACAAGCGGUGGAUCAUGUUGUUUAAUUCGAAGGUACCCGAAAAACCUCACCAGGUCUUGACAUGCUUCUGCAAAGCUGUAGAAACACAGUGGAGGUUAUCAGUUGCACAGGUGGUGCAUGGUUGUCGUCAGCUCGUGUCGUGAGAUGUUGGGUUAAGUCCCGCAACGAGCGCAACCCUUAUUGUUAGUUGCCAACACGUAANGGNNGGGACUUUAGC
RNAcentral lists this ribosomal RNA (924 nucleotides) under Candidatus Phytoplasma asteris-related phytoplasma. RNAcentral describes it as "bacterial SSU rRNA". It matches the Rfam family "Bacterial small subunit ribosomal RNA", at positions 211 to 1144 of the family's 1533-position model. The record is from RNAcentral. Lineage: Bacteria; Bacillati; Mycoplasmatota; Mollicutes; Acholeplasmatales; Acholeplasmataceae.